RNAcentral lists this ribosomal RNA (468 nucleotides) under uncultured bacterium. Its description in RNAcentral is "partial 16S ribosomal RNA". It matches the Rfam family "Bacterial small subunit ribosomal RNA", at positions 28 to 507 of the family's 1533-position model. The record is from RNAcentral.
GACGAACGCUGGCGGCGUGCUUAACACAUGCAAGUCGAACGGAAAGGCCCUGCUUUUGUGGGGUGCUCGAGUGGCGAACGGGUGAGUAACACGUGAGUAACCUGCCCUUGACUUUGGGAUAACUUCAGGAAACUGGGGCUAAUACCGGAUAGGAGCUCCUGCUGCAUGGUGGGGGUUGGAAAGUUUCGGCGGGUGGGGAUGGACUCGCGGCUUAUCAGCUUGUUGGUGGGGUAGUGGCUUACCAAGGGUUUGACGGGUAGCCGGCCUGAGAGGGUGAACGGCGACAUGAGGCCUGAGAGAGGCAGCAGACUCCUAUAGGGGGCAGCAGGGGGAAAUCUUGCCCAAUGAGCGGAAGCGUGAGGCAGAAACGCCGCGGUCGUGAAGACGGCUUUUUGGUUGUAAACCGCUGUCGGCUGUGACCAAGCGUGAGUGACGGUAAUGGGUAAAGAAGCACCGGCUAACUACGUG